UACGUAGGGUGCGAGCGUUGUCCGGAAUUAUUGGGCGUAAAGAGCUCGUAGGCGGUGUGUCACGUCGGCCGUGAAAACCUGCAGCUUAACUGUGGGCGUGCGGUCGAUACGGGCAUCACUGGAGUUCGGCAGGGGAGACUGGAAUUCCUGGUGUAGCGGUGAAAUGCGCAGAUAUCAGGAGGAACACCUGUGGCGAAGGCGGGUCUCUGGACAGUUCCUGACGCUGAGGCACGAAGGCCAGGGGAGCAAACGGG
Molecule: ribosomal RNA, 254 nt
Filed under: uncultured bacterium
Lineage: Bacteria
Description: partial 16S ribosomal RNA
Rfam family: Bacterial small subunit ribosomal RNA
Source: RNAcentral